AUGUUUUUCCAAGCACAAACCACGCUGCAGUCGCUGCUGUUGUUGUUGUUGUUGUUGUUAUCAUUGCUGCUUCUGUUGUUUUGCAGCUCCAUCGUGAACGGUAGAAUUGAAAAGGGGCUGCUGCUAGUGCAACUCAUUUUAAAAUUUCAGCGGCUAGCAUCAUUAAUUACGUCACCGUGGCGACGUCACCGACAAAGAAGAAGGAAAGUGAAGCGUUCUCUGUGCCCUUGAAUAACUGCGAAGAAUUAAGUACGCCGGAAUCAGCAGGAACUUAUCCUUGCCGGAUAAUAAUAAUAAUAAUAAUAUUAAAGGAUCAAAUGCUGCAAUAGUGGAGGUGUCCACA
Drosophila mauritiana is the source of this 343-nucleotide long non-coding RNA. RefSeq lists it as uncharacterized. The record is from RefSeq and is a predicted model, not a curated record. The transcript has 3 exons. NCBI's taxonomy places the organism in Eukaryota, Metazoa, Arthropoda, Insecta, Diptera, Drosophilidae.